GGUUGACCUCGGAUCAGGUAGGGAUACCCGCUGAACUUAAGCAUAUCAAUAAGCGGAGGAAAAGAAACCAACAGGGAUUGCCCUAGUAACGGCGAGUGAAGCGGCAAGAGCUCAAAUUUGAAAGCUGGCCCCCUCGGGGCCCGCAUUGUAAUUUGCAGAGGAUGCUUCGGGCGUGGCCCCUGUCUAAGUGCCCUGGAACGGGCCGUCAGAGAGGGUGAGAAUCCCGUAUGGGAUGGGGUGCCCACGCCCGUGUGAAGCUCCUUCGACGAGUCGAGUUGUUUGGGAAUGCAGCUCUAAAUGGGUGGUAAAUUUCAUCUAAAGCUAAAUAUUGGCCGGAGACCGAUAGCGCACAAGUAGAGUGAUCGAAAGAUGAAAAGCACUUUGAAAAGAGAGUUAAAAAGCACGUGAAAUUGUUGAAAGGGAAGCGCUUGCGACCAGACUCGCCCCAGGGGUUCAACCGGCUUUCGGGCCGGUGUACUUCCCCCGGGGCGGGCCAGCGUCGGUUUUGGCGGCCGGUCAAAGGCCCCUGGAAUGUAACGCCCCCCGGGGCGUCUUAUAGCCAGGGGUGCCAUGCGGCCCGCCGGGACCGAGGAACGCGCUUCGGCUCGGACGCUGGCAUAAUGGUCGUAAGCGACC
This 636-nucleotide ribosomal RNA is filed under the name Penicillium fellutanum. Its description in RNAcentral is "eukaryotic LSU rRNA". It matches the Rfam family "Eukaryotic large subunit ribosomal RNA", at positions 1 to 649 of the family's 3401-position model. Lineage: Eukaryota; Fungi; Ascomycota; Eurotiomycetes; Eurotiales; Aspergillaceae. The record is from RNAcentral.